AUGUAAUAUAGCAUGAGAUAGUUGUAUGAAGAGUUAUGCAUGCCUUUCAUAAUUUACCCCUCUAGCAUUUGUGUUUAAUAUAGCAGCCAACUGUACAGGUAAAGCAUCCAAUUGAGAGAGUCACAAGGGCCCCAAAACAGAUGCAAAGGCUAACUAAUCAACUGCUUGGUUAGCCUCUCGAAAGAUGUGUGAGAUGGUCCAAGGAUAUGAAACAUCCCUUCAAGUCAAGACAUCCCUCAAUAUAGGCCACCCAUGUUUAAUUUUAGCUUUAGGAGAGGAAAUUCAUUUGAUGACUACAAAAGAAUCUCCCUCCAUCCAUAACUUCUCAGCUUGCAAAGAGAACAAGGCCUCAUGAAACCCCAUCCAAUGACCAACCAGCUCAGCAAAUGGAACAGAACACGGUGGCAAUUGGGAGGCUGCCGCUUUAAUAAGAUGGCCAUGCCAAUCCCUAAUGAUGAAUGCCAUUGCUGCAUCCUCAUUCGACACAGAACCAUCAAAAUUUAGCUUCAACAUUCCCAAGGGUGGGGGCUGCCACACAACAGAUAUAGAAGACGGUUGCCUCUAGUUGGCAGUGUAAUAGCAUCCCCAGUUCCUUAAUGGAUACGAAGCUGAAAAUAGAUUGUAGAGGGCGAGACUAUGGCUUAUGACCAUAAGCUGGCGCAUAACCUCUUGUGGAGCAAUAGUGACUUGCUCAAAUAUGCGACUAUUACGGGCCCUCCAUAUAAGCCACAUUAGCAACAUACAUACAGAAAGAUAAUCCCUGUACCUUGACCCUUAGGCCAC
RNAcentral lists this long non-coding RNA (783 nucleotides) under Elaeis guineensis (African oil palm). Its description in RNAcentral is "long non-coding RNA (EGUI_LNC031268)". The record is from RNAcentral. Lineage: Eukaryota; Viridiplantae; Streptophyta; Magnoliopsida; Arecales; Arecaceae.